This 429-nucleotide ribosomal RNA is filed under the name Gemmatimonadota bacterium. RNAcentral's name for it is "Gemmatimonadetes bacterium partial 16S ribosomal RNA". It matches the Rfam family "Bacterial small subunit ribosomal RNA", at positions 355 to 776 of the family's 1533-position model. Lineage: Bacteria; Pseudomonadati; Gemmatimonadota. The record is from RNAcentral.
UAGGGAAUCUUCGGCAAUGGACGAAAGUCUGACCGAGCAACGCCGCGUGAGUGAAGAAGGUUUUCGGAUCGUAAAACUCUGUUGUUAGAGAAGAACAAGGACGUUAGUAACUGAACGUCCCCUGACGGUAUCUAACCAGAAAGCCACGGCUAACUACGUGCCAGCAGCCGCGGUAAUACGUAGGUGGCAAGCGUUGUCCGGAUUUAUUGGGCGUAAAGCGAGCGCAGGCGGUUUCUUAAGUCUGAUGUGAAAGCCCCCGGCUCAACCGGGGAGGGUCAUUUGAAACUGGGAGACUGGAGUGCAGAAGAGGAGAGUGGAAUUCCAUGUGUAGCGGUGAAAUGCGUAGAUAUAUGGAGGAACACCAGUGGCGAAGGCGGCUAUCUGGUCUGUAACUGACGCUGAGGCGCGAAAGCGUGGGGAGCAAACAGG